GAGCUUCCUAGGGUUAGAGGCAGAUGCUUGGAGGGCAGAGUGAGAAGUGUUGGAUGAGAGCAAGAGGGAAAAGGAUACAAGGUAGUGGUCGGAGAUUUGGAGGGGAGUUGCAAUGAGAUUAGUGGAAGAACAGCAUCUAGUAAAGAUGAGGUCAAGCGUAUUGCCUGCCUUGUGAGUAGGGGGGGAAGGUGAGAGGGUGAGGUCAAAAGAGGAGAGGAGUGGAAAGAAGGAGGCAGAGAGGAAUGAGUCAAAGGUAGACGUGGGGAGGUUAAAGUCACCCAGAACUGUGAGAGGUGAGCCGUCCUCAGGAAAGGAACUUAUCAAGGCGUCAAGCUCAUUGAUGAACUCUCCAAGGGAACCCGGAGGGCGAUAAAUGAUAAGGAUGUUAAGCUUGAAAGGGCUGGUAACUGUGACAGCAUGGAAUUCAAAUGAGGAGAUAGACAGAUGGGUCAGGGGAGAAAGAGAGAAUGUCCACUUGGGAGAGAUGAGGAUUCAAGUGCC
RNAcentral lists this long non-coding RNA (501 nucleotides) under Salmo salar (Atlantic salmon). Its description in RNAcentral is "lncRNA (ENSSSAG00000115348.1, ENSSSAG00000117732.1)". Lineage: Eukaryota; Metazoa; Chordata; Actinopteri; Salmoniformes; Salmonidae. The record is from RNAcentral.